UUUUUAAAUGUGUUUUACAGUGCACCUUUUGUAUGUUUUUACAUUCAUAUAAAUAUUCAUACAUAGAUUUAUUCUUCUAACUAGCUAGCUUUUAAACAUUUUUUAUUGGGGUUUUUUGCACCGAUAUACAGCACUUGUAUCAAUGAGAAAUACAAUUGCCUUUUAUGUACAUAAAACAAACAAAAAAAGGAACCUUCACAGUGCUACACCUUACCAGAAUCUCCAGAAUUAAAGCUACAGUAGGUAACUUUUAUAAAAGUCCUAAGGCUCCUCCUAGUGCUCCUAAUGGUAUUUGCAAGAACCCACCGGGCCUGAAUGAAAACAACCAAUCAGAGCCGAGAAAGAUAGUUGAUUGUUGAGUCUCAUUCCCAGGGGAUCAAAUACAGAUGCUUUGUCUGUUGGAUUUUUGCAAAUGCCAUUAGGAGCACUAGGAGGAGCCAGAGGAACCUGAUUUUUUCCACAGAUUAUCUGUCUCGUGUACUACUGUCAGGAUAUAGGGAAAGUUUCAGAAAUAAUGACAAAAAGUUGUUUUUAUCAAAGUUACCUACUGCAGCUUUAAAUUAUUAGUUAAGGAUAUCUGAAAACAUAUUCGUAUUCAUACCGUACUCAAGAAAGGGGCCCCAGACGUUGUCAGAUGCAUUGGACCUUCCUUGGAGAGACAGUAAAGCACGUCCCAAAUGUGACGGGGGUGCAGGAGAUUUCCGUUUUAUCAGGAACAGUCUUGAUCUGUGUUUUUUGGCAUAAUUGUCCUGUAGUCUUAACACAAACAAUAAACACAAGAAGAAAAGCUGAAUAUGAGCAUUAGUCCAGGCAGCAUGUUUGGCUAUCAGAUGUGAACAUCUGUCUUCUUAUAUCCGUAAAGGGAUUUGAGGUUAGUUCCAGUCCACUGGGAUUCCACUCUAACUUCUAAUGAACCUCAGCAUCAUUCUACUGAGAAAAAACAAGUUUUUAGACAUCUUGAUGGAUUUAUAUUUUUAGUCUUAGUUUCUGUUGAUGAUUGAAAUUCACUUCAUUCAGUUAGUAAAUUAUAUUUGUUGUCACUUUAUUAUUCAAAUAGAUCAUCUGAUGAAGUAAUUUAGUCCUCAGGACAAAACAAUGAUGUUGCCUUGUACUCUAUACAUACACUACAUACAACCAACAGUCAACUCUCAUACAGAUUUUGUAGAACUCUAGAUAGAUAGAUAACUCGUUGUCAGUUGUAAACAUAGACUGUAUAAUUAAAAAUGGCCAUAGUCUUCUUGACGUCACUCAUAGGUAAGAGCCAUUAUGAAGCUCAGUGUGGCCAAUCCAAAACGAGCAAAGAAAUGAAGUGUGGGUGGAGCUAAGACGGUCUGAAUAAUGCCUGGUUACUGAAAACAGCCACCUGUGGAAACCCGCAUGUCAUUCAAAGUGGUAACACCAUUAAUUAUGCAUAGGGGAGUUCUAUACAAAUUCACCCCCUGUACAGUUGUCAUGAAUGGGAAAUUAGCUAUAGAGACCAAAAGUGUUUUUGGUACCAGGCUGUAAACAUGUUUAUUUCUGCUGUAAAGUUGGACAUUUUAAUAUAGGUCACUUCUGGAGUCAGCCUUAGGUGGAACUGUAGCUUGUGUUAUUUCCAUGUUUGCUUCAUUUGCCAGCUUGGUUGUAUUUGGAAAAUCCUCAAGAGAUAGUGUGGCAAUGAAGUGAAACAAAAUGGUAAUACAGUCUGAUAUCAGCUUAAUAUCAAGCUUAUAGCCCUUCUGUGUAGAAUGUUUUAUUUUUUUUUACUUUGGCAGUAUGCUGCUACCUCCCCCACAUUGAUCCAACCCAAAAAGCAAAACAUAGACUGCACAAAAUUUAACCAGGAUUGUUUCUCGACAAAACUUCAUCCAGAUAAAGUAGUUGGUAGAUGCAAUAAUUACAAAUUCUACACACGAUGGCUGCCUUAAAUGGUUUUUUAACAGGCUGUGCAGGGGAUGGGUCAAGGACUCCAGUCAUUUGACUUUAUGUCAACAUUCAAAAUAUACUCAUCAUGUGUAUCAAAAUCCAAAAUGGCAGUAUACGUGAACAAAAAUGUUGUCUGUGAGGUAAACAUUAUGUUUCAUGUUUAAUAUAUUUUGGGUGGACUUGGUUUCAGACAAUGAUUUUAUGAUGUUCUUGUUGAAAAGUAAUGAAUGGAAACUAAAGGAAAUAUCACAAGGUAAACAAAAUAUCAGAAUUCUUCAACUACUACUGCCACCUCACACUACUUCAACCUUUGCUUCUAAGAAUGAACAAAUCUUAUUCUCAUGGCCACAAAAGAGUGCUUGUCAGGGAAAUCUUGUUUGAAUAAUCAACCAAUGCUACCGGUAUGGACAAGACAAAUAUAGUGAGUAUUAAGCCAUUCUCUGUGGCUUUUUUACAUCAACUCUGUGUGUCAUCUCCCUGGUUCUGCCAUCUCUUUGACUUUGGUAUCAUUCCCUCUGGAGUAUCUUGUCCUUAUGAAGUUGCUCCCAUCUUCCUCCUACUCCCUCCUACUUGUUAACAUCAAAUGGGAGAACCUCUAGCUUUGGCUCUCUCUGCCCUAGAGCAGGGCGACAUUUCACUGGUGACAGGAGAAUAACACUUGCUGUGUUGACGUGACGAAUUAGUGUGAGCGUUUACUAUAUAACUGUAAGCCUGUUCAAAGCUUUGAUUAUAGCAAUCUGUUUAUGAUCUACUACGGGAAGUCAGCUCAUAAAAAUACACAAGGGGUGCAUGGUAUCCGAUUCUGAAGCAUUUUCACGAUUUGAUUUGAGUUCAGCCGACACAUUGAAGAGGCAUGUUUAAGCAACAAAUGGAUGAAAGAAGCCAACACGUGUACACCAUUAAUAAUAUUGCAGGGUGUACAUUUUGAGAGGCAGUCAAGAAUCUGACAUUUUUGAGAAAGCAUGAUGUACAGACCUUUUAAGGCGCAAGGUGCUCAGAGUGUCUCAGUAAUAGCAAGUGUGGGGAGAUAAUUGACUCCACUAAGGGCAUCUAAAAAGCACUCUGAGAUGAGAGCUGUAUUUAAGGAAAGUUUUAUUAUCUGCUUUUAAAUGCCAAGCCAUGCACCGUUUUUGCCUGUGGGGGGGGGGAUGUUUUUUAAAUGCCAGCAUUAAGUGCAGAAUAUUACCUGAUCGCUGCGACUGACUUUCAGCUGCUGGCAAAGAUAGCUUGCGGUCAACUCCUCUGCCUGACCGCCUGCUACAAAGAAUAGUACAGGAAGUGAUUUGUCAAAGCUCCCUGCAGACACCGCUCUUAUCUGAGAGGAAGAUGUAUGCCAUCUAAGGGGAGUGGUACGCAGGAAGUGUCAGGGAGUAUCUUACAGUAUGCAAUGCUGACCACAGUUUUAGUUAAAUGUUUGAAAACUGGCCUGUUUGUGUGUUGCAAGAUUUCAGAGUUUUCCUCGAAAUAAGUAAAACGCAAGCAAGAUACAUCAAACAUCAAGGUCUCGGUCAUACCAAGUCUCAUCUGUCCAUGUCUGAAGAUGAAAGCUGCAGUAGGUAACUUUUAUUUAAAAUAACUUUUUGUUAUUUUUGCUGAAACUUUCACGAUAUCCUGACAGUAGUACACGAGACAGAUAAUCAGCGAAGUUCAGUUCCUCUGGCUCUUUCUAGAGCUCCUUAUGGUAUUUGCAAGAAUCCACCAGGCCUGAAUGAAAACAACCAAUCAGAGCCAAGAAAAAUAGAAAGAUGCUAGACUAGACUGGACAGUUGAUGUAGUUGGAAGCUUGAAGAUAGCUGAUUGUUGAGUCUCACUCAAGGGUCCCAAAGCUUCUGCGUUUGACGACCUGGGAAGGAGCCUCAACAUUUUUUUUUUCGGCCCCAAGAGAGAAAUACUGAAAUUUCCCAACUUCUUUCUCAAAAUACUAACUCCUUUUUUUCCACAAAGAUCAAUUUUAAUCUGAUUCUAUAAAAUUGUCUGCCAUUACGGAGAUGAUCAAUUUUACUUUUGAUUAAUGAAAUAAUUAAUUUAGACAGACAUUAUGACUUAUGUUCAGCUACAACUGAUGUAUCUGUCCUACAAAGAACACUUUCAGUCAACAAAGAAGCAGUGGUAGGAGUUUUUAGGAACAGUUUCACAGCGAUCAAAUAAAUAUGACGAUUGGCCUGUACUGCUGCAUCCAUUUCAUUCAAGCUUGUCGCGCUCUUUGGGCCACUUUGUUUUGCCAUUAAUUUUGAUGGAUCUAUCUCAGUAGCUAGCUAUAUGUAGCAAAAUGACAUCCCCAUUCUAUAUCUGGCUACACAAAGCUCUGCUUGGGUGAUGUUUCCUCCAAAAAAACAGCCAUCAGUGAGCAAAAAAGUUUUCAGUCACUUGACAAAUCAGAGGUUUUGGUGGUGAUUCAGUGGUCUUAAACCAGGCUAUUAUGGGAUUGUUCUGUCAUACAUAGACUGCGUUUCUCUUAUUAUCUGGGAUCUGUCUGUGCAGUCCUGAUUAACAAUAUAAUACCAGUACCUUUCUGAUGAUAAUUUGUCCCUGCGAUUUGCUUGCAUUGUUGAGAUGUUUGUAGGGGCGGUAGUCAUUACAGAGGAGCUGCUGGUUUACAGUGUUGCAGGAGAAUGCUGGAGCUGAGUGUUGGUGCUGUUGCAGACAGGUUUCUGUUGUGCAAAGGGGCAAUAAAAGGCUUUAUUAGACAGGCUUGAGUUCAUUAUAGACGCUGUGUUUCUCUCUGCCUGCUUGGCUUAGAUAAACCUCGCUCUGACCAAGGCCACAUCCCUCCCGCUGUCGCUGCAGGCCCUCACCGAAUUGAUUUCAGUAAUAAAGUGACAGUCUUGCCGUAAUAUACGGAUGGCCUUUAAUUCAAGCCUGUUAGCGUGCCAAGGGGCGCUUGUUUCAGGCUUUAUUUACACCCUUGCAGCGCUGCCUGGCAUGCAGGGCUCCACGGUGAAUCAGACCAGAAGAUUUGGAUAAAAGGUUUGAAAUGCCAAAAGCUCUUAAAGUUGCUCAGGCAGUGUUUAAAGUACUCAACUGUGAACUUGUGUGGGAUGCACUACUUUAGCUGCACUCAGACUUGUUGUCAUCAAAAGGAUUGCAACUGUUGAAAUUAGAGUGUGUAAAAGUUUCAUUUUCUUCACUUCCUCCACAGCCAUAGGCCUACUCCUACUCAGCAAACUGUUUGCAUUUGAAGUUCCUUUAUGACCUCAGAGGAUUCACUUCUGUUUAUGUACAUGUGACAGCUAUGGGUUUAAGGAUAGUGUUUGGAUUUUGUCAGUACGGAGUGUUGAGACACAUGUACGGAAAUUGUUUGGAUUUUUUAUGGUUUGUACCGGCUAAUAUUAAUUUUGAUGUGGUUCUCCAUUCAGAGGAAGAUUACCUUUACAAGCUGCGCCAUCAAUCAGAAGCUCCGUUGCUUGACCUGUGAAAGACUGUAAUUAAGUUAGCCUAAUUAACUUAAUGAAGUGUCACACUUGGCUGACUUUACUAUAUCAAGUAAAUUGAAAGAAAAAUAGGCAUCAUUACUCAUCAGAUGUUCUGGUAUUUAGAGUGAAGUGGAGGGAAUGCAUUUUUCACCAACUCCUCAUCCAGCGGGAGUGGAAAACGCUAACCUUUAGCCUGGUUUUAUUCCCUCAGUGAGGCAUUAUUCAUUAGCAGUCUGAUUGGUUCAAUCAGUAUCAUUGGUGCAUUUAUGGAAUGAAGAUAAAUCCCUGAGUGUGAUUUGAAUUUGUUGGUCUCAUUCUCUUAUCUGUAUUCGAGUUUAAUCUUAAUGCCGUAAGGACCACGCGAUCAAUAAGCCCAACAGUGAGGCGCUUAAAGCAUGAUAACCUCAUCAAUGAUGGUUGUCUUUUAGAUGUGGCUAAAGUUUAACCACUGUUUAAUGUGAUUUAAAGGCGAGCGGUGGCAGCUAAACAGGGGUGGCUAGCUAAAGCAGCCUGCAGGGAGCACAGGACAUGGUCAAGGGUGGCCAGGCGGGACACCGAAGACAAAGAGAAAAUCAAUGGCUGGGAGUCACCUCAAUCACUUUAACUAGGCGCUACAGACGCCCAAUGCCCCUCUCAGGGGCCAAUUUGUGGAGUAAACAGGAGUGUGUGAUUGCUGCCGGGGUCCCCAGUGGCCCCAGCAGUCCAUUUCUCUGGACCUGGUUCAUUCUAAUAACCCUCUUAGAUAGAGUGUACAUGAGGCCACUUUCCAGACCCCUCUCAGUAUUUUAUGGCCAUAAACAGCAUAGCAGACACUGAGCAGCAGCACUACCAGCCUUCGUUAAGAUAACGUUCCCACAAGCCCCUGGCUCCUGCUGCGUGGGCAGAAAGCAUGAUAUAUUCUAAUGGCAUUCUGGGUAGGGACACAACUCCAAUAAAUAUACAUAAUAAACUAUAGUUUAACAUUUCUUUUUAUAAACCCACCUCAGUCAAACAUAGGGGGGCAUUGGAUAUACUUUGGCUUUAACUUGUGUUGAGGACACAGUGUAAUCACUGUAAUGCACAAACUUCAGGUUUACUAAACUUUGCGCAUCCAUGGGUUCAAAAACCAUAGAUAAGUCUAGUGUUGAUAAAGCCUAACCCUUACUGAAUGGAAUUAUGGUUCUAUGAUGAUGCAUGUUAACAUAAAAGGGCAUAACAUGAAAACGAAUGAGUGUAGGACUAUUCAGUUCAGUUCAUUUUUAUUUGUAUAGCGCCACUUCAUAACAGAAGUUAUCUCAGGACACUUUUCAAAUAGAGCAGGUCUAGACCGAACUCCUUAUAACAUUAUUUACAGAGACCCAACAGUACCACCAUGAGCAAGACCUUGGCGAGAAGGGCAAGGAAAAACUGCCUGUUAAAAGGCAGAAACCUAGGACAGAUCCUUCGGCUCUAGGUGGGUGGUCGUCUGUCUCGACCAGUUGGGGUGAGAGAGAGAGAGAGAGAGAGACACAGAGAGCGAGAGACAGACAGACAGGUACACAGCAACAACAGUAUUGGUAAUAGCAAUCUAGCAGGACCAUUGCAGGAGGCUCCACCAGAAUCGAUAAGAACCUGCGAGACGAGAAAGCACAAGAACUCCGGGGAAGAAGUGAAGUUAGUAACAUGCAUUAAUGGGACAUGAAUGAGUGCAGAAAGAGAGAGGAAGAGAGGAGCUCAGUGCACCAUUGGAAAUCCCCCGAUAGUCUAGGCCUAUAGCAGCAUAACUAAGGGAUGGUUCAGGACUCACCUGAUCCAGCCCUAACUAUAAGCUUUAUCAAAGAGGAAUGUCUUAAGCCUACUCUUGAAUGUGGUGAGGGUGUCUGCCUCCCGAACCACAACUGGAAGCUGGUUCCACAGGAGAGGAGCUUGGUAACUGAAGGCUCUGGCUCCUGUUCUACUUUUAGAGACUAUAGGAACCACAAGUAGCCCAGCAUUCAGAGAAC
This is a long non-coding RNA of Dicentrarchus labrax (European seabass), 7279 nucleotides long. RefSeq lists it as uncharacterized. The record is from RefSeq and is a predicted model, not a curated record. NCBI's taxonomy places the organism in Eukaryota, Metazoa, Chordata, Actinopteri, Moronidae. The transcript has 2 exons.